GGCAGAUGAUGUCUUUCUCUCACGAUGGUCUGCGGAUGCCCCACGGGCAGUGCCGACGAUGCCAAUGGCUCAGCUGAUGCCAGGAG
Molecule: small nucleolar RNA, 86 nt
Filed under: Carlito syrichta (Philippine tarsier)
Lineage: Eukaryota; Metazoa; Chordata; Mammalia; Primates; Tarsiidae
Description: Small nucleolar RNA SNORD35 (ENSTSYG00000020548.2)
Rfam family: Small nucleolar RNA SNORD35
About the family: U35 is a C/D box snoRNA located in intron 6 of ribosomal protein L13A and intron 3 of ribosomal protein S11 in humans and at homologous positions in mouse and chicken ribosomal protein genes.
Source: Rfam by way of RNAcentral